Molecule: microRNA, 23 nt
Filed under: Oreochromis niloticus (Nile tilapia)
Lineage: Eukaryota; Metazoa; Chordata; Actinopteri; Cichliformes; Cichlidae
Description: oni-miR-10613
Source: miRBase by way of RNAcentral
UGUACCUCUGCGUGUGUCAGCCG